UCCACAAUGCACAAUAGACAAUGUACAUAUAUGCGCAGAAGAAUAGAAUAAGAUUCAAUAGGCAAUGAGAAAAGGAAGAAGGAAAUCAUACAUUCGAGUAUAUAUCGUUAAAGAUAAUAUGAGCAAAGGCGCAGGCUACUACUAAUUAUUAUGAGCUCUUUUACGGUGAUUGGCGAGUUACAUAAUUUCAUGUAACUCCCCCUUUGAUUAUUUCCCACUGUUGAUUUUAACAUGUUAAUUAAAAAAAUUAUGUUUAAUCAAGAAGGGCAUUAUGGUCCUAUUUUUUAGUAACUUUGUCAAUUUGCUCCGUAAAUCCCUCGCAUCUCGUCCAACCCAUCUCGCGAGAGGAAGGCGCCGCCGCGAGGUCCUGGAGGCGAACCCCCUGGGCUUGGUCGUAGUGGCCGCUCCCCCACGGCCCCGCGGACGCCGCCGCGAGGUCCUGAGGACGGCGCUGGCGCGAGGUGCUGGAGGCGAUCCCCCGGCUGCGCUUGGUCGUAGUGGCGGCUCAACGGAGCAAGGUGACGACGGUGUUCUCUGAAUUCUGAUCUCUCUCCACAUUGCUCUCAUAUCAUCUCCAUGGAUGAAAAAGGGUGUAUAGUGCCAUCGUUGUUCAUCCUCUCCGUUUGUCACAAGCGUUGUCUGAAUCAACUUAGCUGACAAAAUGGCUACCUGUCUCGUUUUUCAUCAGCCUUCACCUCUGUGCAGUUUUCUUGGCAUGAAAAGUCAAACAAAUGUAUGUGUUGAUGGAAUCUGGAGAUCCAGAAAAGGAAGCUUAUAUUACCAAUUUUUGUUAA
Molecule: long non-coding RNA, 794 nt
Organism: Aegilops tauschii subsp. strangulata
Lineage: Eukaryota; Viridiplantae; Streptophyta; Magnoliopsida; Poales; Poaceae
Source: RefSeq, a predicted model, not a curated record